CCGGGAUAACUCCGGGAAACCGGAGCUAAUACCGGAUAACACCAAAGACCGCAUGGUCUUUGGUUGAAAGGCGGCUUCGGCUGCCACUUGCGGAUGGGCCCGCGGCGCAUUAGCUAGUUGGUGAGGUAACGGCUCACCAAGGCGACGAUGCGUAGCCGGCCUGAGAGGGUGACCGGCCACACUGGGACUGAGACACGGCCCAGACUCCUACGGGAGGCAGCAGUAGGGAAUCUUCCGCAAUGGACGAAAGUCUGACGGAGCGACGCCGCGUGAGCGAAGAAGGCCUUUCGGGUCGUAAAGCUCUGUUGUGAGGGACGAAGGAGCGCCGUUUGAAUAAGGCGGCGCGGUGACGGUACCUCACGAGAAAGCCCCGGCUAACUACGUGCCAGCAGCCGCGGUAAUACGUAGGGGGCGAGCGUUGUCCGGAAUUAUUGGGCGUAAAGCGCGCGCAGGCGGUCCUUUAAGUCUGAUGUGAAAGCCCACGGCUCAACCGUGGAGGGUCAUUGGAAACUGGGGGACUUGAGUGCAGGAGAGGAGAGCGGAAUUCCACGUGUAGCGGUGAAAUGCGUAGAGAUGUGGAGGAACACCAGUGGCGAAGGCGGCUCUCUGGCCUGUAACUGACGCUGAGGCGCGAAAGCGUGGGGNAGCAAACAGGAUUAGAUACCCUGGUAGUCCACGCCGUAAACGAUGAGUGCUAAGUGUUAGAGGGGUYCACACCCCUUUAGUGCUGUAGCUAACGGCGAUAAGCACUCCGCCUGGGGAGUACGGCCGCAAGGCUGAAACUCAAAAGGAAUUGACGGGGGCCCCGCACAAGCGGUGGAGCAUGUGGUUUUAAUUCGAAGCAACGCGAAGAACCUUACCAGGUCUUGACAUCCCCUGACAACCCAAGAGAUUGGGCGUUCCCCCUUCGGGGGGACAGGGUGACAGGUGGUGCAUGGUUGUCGUCAGCUCGUGUCGUGAGAUGUUGGGUUAAGUCCCGCAACGAGCGCAACCCUUGCCUCUAGUUGCCAGCAUUCAGUUGGGCACUCUAGAGGGACUGCCGGCUAAAAGUCGGAGGAAGGUGGGGAUGACGUCAAAUCAUCAUGCCCCUUAUGACCUGGGCUACACACGUGCUACAAUGGGCGGUACAAAGGGCUGCGAACCCGCGAGGGGGAGCGAAUCCCAAAAAGCCGCUCUCAGUUCGGAUUGCAGGCUGCAACUCGCCUGCAUGAAGCCGGAAUCGCUAGUAAUCGCGGAUCAGCAUGCCGCGGUGAAUACGUUCCCGGGCCUUGUACACACC
RNAcentral lists this ribosomal RNA (1279 nucleotides) under Geobacillus thermodenitrificans. RNAcentral's name for it is "bacterial SSU rRNA". It matches the Rfam family "Bacterial small subunit ribosomal RNA", at positions 138 to 1391 of the family's 1533-position model. Lineage: Bacteria; Bacillati; Bacillota; Bacilli; Caryophanales; Anoxybacillaceae. The record is from RNAcentral.